UCGGGAAUUUUGGGCAAUGGGCGAAAGCCUGACCCAGCAACGCCGCGUGAAGGAUGAAAUCCUUCGGGAUGUAAACUUCGCAAGAACGGGAAGAAUAAGUCGGUGCAAAUAUCACCGGCGAUGACGGUACUGUUUGUAAGCUCCGGCUAACUCCGUGCCAGCAGCCGCGGUAAUACGGGGGGAGCAAGCGUUGUUCGGAUUUACUGGGCGUAAAGGGCGCGUAGGCGGCCACCGCAAGUCAGUUGUGAAAUCUCGUCGCUUAACGACGAAACUGCCUUUGAUACUAUCAGUCUUGAAUCCGGUAGAGAUCUGUGGAAUUCCGAGUGUAGCAGUGAAAUGUGUAGAUAUUCGGAAGAACACCAGUGGCGAAGGCAGCAGAUUGGGCCGGUAUUGACGCUCAGGCACGAAAGCAGGGGGAUCAAACAGGAUUAGAGACCCUGGUAGUCCAUGCCCUAAACGAUGUUCACUUGAUGUCUGCCCUCAGGGCAGGUGUCGAAGCUAACGCGAUAAGUGAACCACCUGGGGAGUACGCUCGCAAGGGUGA
This 544-nucleotide ribosomal RNA is filed under the name uncultured bacterium. RNAcentral describes it as "bacterial SSU rRNA". It matches the Rfam family "Bacterial small subunit ribosomal RNA", at positions 355 to 897 of the family's 1533-position model. The record is from RNAcentral.